CAUAGUCACCUUGAGAAGGCUACUAUAGGUUUCAUGUUACUAUUAAAAGUAGUUGUACGUUAUUUUCACAAUUUGUUUUGUUUUUCAUAACUUUAACCCAUCUUAGCUUAUAUAAACUGUCAUUUUAUUUUUUUAUUUUUUUAAGGUCAUUUUUUUAAAACAACAUAUUAUGAUAUCAAUAAAUUUUAUUUAAGAAUUUUAUAUUUAAAAAAACUCAAAUAUCUUACGUUACAAUUUAAGUCAAUAAAUUUAAUCCUAAUGUUUUUUGCAGUUUUUUGUUUUUAUUAUUUAAAACAUAUAUUUAACUUUUUUUUUUAAAAGUUUAAAAUAAUUAAAUAAUUUUACAAAGGUUGGUUUGGAAUAGUAAACAUAGUCACCUUGAGAAGGCUACUAUAGGUUUCAUGUUACUAUUAAAAGUAGUUGUACGUUAUUUUCAUAAUUUGUUUUGUUUUUCAUAACUUUAACCCAUCUUAGUUUAUAUAAACUGUCAUUUUCUUUAUUUCUAUUUUUAUGGUCAUUUCUUUAAAACAAAAUAUUAAGAUAUCAAUCAAUUAUAUUUUAGAAUUAUAGAUUUUGAAAAACUCAAAUAUCAAUACGUUACAAUUAAAGUCAAUAAAUUUAAUUAUAAUGUUUUUUGCAUUUUCUCUGUUUUUAGUGUUUGAAACAUAUAUUUAACUUUUUUUUAAAAAUGUUUAAAAUAAGUAAAUAAUUCUACAAAGGUUGAUUUGGAAUAGUAAACAUAGUCACCUUGAGAAGGCUAUUAUAGGUUUCAUGUUACUAAUAAAAGUAG
This 790-nucleotide long non-coding RNA is filed under the name Lathyrus oleraceus (garden pea). Its description in RNAcentral is "Pisum sativum (pea) long non-coding RNA (PSAT_LNC040495)". The record is from RNAcentral. Lineage: Eukaryota; Viridiplantae; Streptophyta; Magnoliopsida; Fabales; Fabaceae.